RNAcentral lists this unclassified non-coding RNA (971 nucleotides) under Zea mays. RNAcentral describes it as "misc RNA Zm00001eb341500". The record is from RNAcentral. Lineage: Eukaryota; Viridiplantae; Streptophyta; Magnoliopsida; Poales; Poaceae.
CUGUUCUCCCCACGGCAGCAGCAUGGAGCUCGAGCUCUUUUCCCCCAUGGUCGUGAGCUCUCCCCUCCAGCUGCUCGACGCCCGCUGCUCCUUCUCCCUCGCGCAGGGCAGCAGCUCGUCCACCUCUCUCUCCCAUGGCGUUUCCCCUGCGAGCAGCGUUUCUUCGUCGUCUUCAACCUCCAGCCGAGCGCCCUCCCUGUCCUCCUCCUAGCGCGAGCUCCCUGCUCAUUGCUCCACGGGCAGCAGAGGUCAGCGGCGCCCUUCUUCCCCAGCUCCACCUUUUCCCCGCGCCCUCUCUCCAUGGCCGAGCUCGCCCAGGCUUCCAUGGCCGUCGGCCCCUGCGAGCUCUGCUCCAUCCCUUCUCCCACUCGACUCCCUGGAAGGCAGCAGCACGCCAGCUCAGGGCUUUCCCCAUGGCGCCUCCCUUUGCCCACUCCCUCCCAGCGCCCUUCCUCCCCUUGGCCAGCAAUGGCACGGCGCCCCCCUGCUCCUACUCUCUCGCGCGGCAGCAACUCCCAUGGCGCCCAGAAAACUCCAGCUGGCUCCCCUCUUCCUCCUCCCCUAUUUCUUCCUCAAGCCAGCAAGCCAUUCCCUCUGCUGUCCAGAGCGCGGCGAGCUUCUCUCGCCCCUGCCAGCAGCACGCCAUGGCCGGAUCUGCCCCCUCCAUGGGCGUCCCUUGCUGUUCCCUGCGCCCAGCUCUCUCUAUCCAGCACGCCCCAUUUUCUUCCAUGGAAAAACCAGCAGCGAGCCCCCUCCUCGCUGUCCUCCGUGGUGCCCGCCGGCUGUUCGACAAAUUGUGCAGCAAGCCGCAUGCUGCCGGCUCGCUGUUUGGUGGAGCCAAUGGACAGCACGCCGUGAUGCCACCGAGUGUUCGCUGUUUUUGCGCAGCCCCGAACAUCGACGUCGUUCACCCCGGUGAGACCGCGACGCUCCUUGUUUGGUUCCGCAUCGACGUUAUUUUCAUACGAUUA